CAGGUUGUCCCCUCUGUCUCUGUCUGUCUCUCUCCCCAUCAUUUGCUUUUUUGCCGGGUCCGGAAUCUCCGCGACGGAGAUCGAAGGAGGAGGAGGAGGAGGAAAAGGAGUUGGAGAUGGAGAUGGGAAUGGAAAGUUCUUCGCGUGCUACCUCUUGGUCUCCCUCAGCCCUCGCCACAAGGGUUAAACCUACAUCGGGUUCACGGUGAACCCUAGACGGCGAAUCAGGCAACACAACGGGGAAUUGAUGUGCGGAGCGUGGAGGACCAAGUGAAAGCGACCUUGGGAAAUGGUCUUCUGCAUCUACGGCUUCCCCUCCCAUGUCUCCGCUCUUCAGCCAUUAUGCCGUCAAUGCAUGCUUGGCUCCGCUAUAUUCAGUUGAAGGAAUGCAUGUGAUCACAGUGGAGGGAAUUGGAAAUCGAAUGCAUGGCCUGCACCCAGUUCAAGAAUCACUUGCGCGUGCUCAUGGUUCACAGUGUGGAUUUUGCA
Long non-coding RNA from Eucalyptus grandis, 489 nucleotides. RefSeq lists it as uncharacterized. NCBI's taxonomy places the organism in Eukaryota, Viridiplantae, Streptophyta, Magnoliopsida, Myrtales, Myrtaceae. The transcript is spliced from 4 exons. The record is from RefSeq and is a predicted model, not a curated record.